CAAUAGCGUAUAUUAAAGUUGUUGCAGUUAAAAGCUCGUAGUUGGAUUUCGGAAGGUCCUUAGCAAUCCGCCCCUUCGGGGAGCGGGUUGCUGGCCUCCUAUGUUCCUAACGGUCCUCGUCCGCGAGGGCGGGGAAUCAACCGCUAGGAUCGUUUACUUUGAGGAAAUUAGAGUGUUCAAAGCAGGCGUAACUCGCCUCCGAAUACGUUAGCAUGGGAUAAUGGAAUACGACUUCGGUCUUGUUUCGUUGGUUUCGCUUGGCUGAAGUAAUGAUUGAUAGGGACAGUUGGGGGCAUUAGUAUUUAGUUGUCAGAGGUGAAAUUCUAGGAUUUACUAAAGACUGACCAAUGCGAAAGCAUUUGCCAAGGAUGUUUUCAUUAAUCAAGAACGAAAGUAGGGGGAUCGAAGACGAUUAGAU
This 418-nucleotide ribosomal RNA is filed under the name uncultured eukaryote. RNAcentral's name for it is "SSU rRNA". It matches the Rfam family "Eukaryotic small subunit ribosomal RNA", at positions 592 to 1013 of the family's 1831-position model. The record is from RNAcentral.